AACGAACGCUGGCGGCAGGCUUAACACAUGCAAGUCGAACGCCCCGCAAGGGGAGUGGCAGACGGGUGAGUAACGCGUGGGAACAUACCCUUUCCUGCGGAAUAGCUCCGGGAAACUGGAAUUAAUACCGCAUACGCCCUACGGGGGAAAGAUUUAUCGGGGAAGGAUUGGCCCGCGUUGGAUUAGCUAGUUGGUGGGGUAAAGGCCUACCAAGGCGACGAUCCAUAGCUGGUCUGAGAGGAUGAUCAGCCACAUUGGGACUGAGACACGGCCCAAACUCCUACGGGAGGCAGCAGUGGGGAAUAUUGGACAAUGGGCGCAAGCCUGAUCCAGCCAUGCCGCGUGAGUGAUGAAGGCCUUAGGGUUGUAAAGCUCUUUCACCGAUGAAGAUAAUGACGGUAGUCGGAGAAGAAGCCCCGGCUAACUUCGUGCCAGCAGCCGCGGUAAUACGAAGGGGGCUAGCGUUGUUCGGAAUUACUGGGCGUAAAGCGCACGUAGGCGGAUAUUUAAGUCAGGGGUGAAAUCCCGCAGCUCAACUGCGGAACUGCCUUUGAUACUGGGUAUCUUGAGUAUGGAAGAGGUAAGUGGAAUUCCGAGUGUAGAGGUGAAAUUCGUAGAUAUUCGGAGGAACACCAGUGGCGAAGGCGGCUUACUGGUCCAUUACUGACGCUGAGGUGCGAAAGCGUGGGGGAGCAAACAGGA
Molecule: ribosomal RNA, 702 nt
Filed under: uncultured Agrobacterium sp.
Lineage: Bacteria; Pseudomonadati; Pseudomonadota; Alphaproteobacteria; Hyphomicrobiales; Rhizobiaceae
Description: bacterial SSU rRNA
Rfam family: Bacterial small subunit ribosomal RNA
Source: RNAcentral